AUAAAUAAAUCUAAAAUGAAAUGGAGAAAUGGCUCAAAAUUCUCAGACUUUAGGAAAUUGCGUUUACUUUUCUACAUUUUUCUAAUAUCUACAGUAGUUCAUGCUACAGCUAAAGCACAUGGACUUCUUUGUUGUAGGAUGUUUGAUUUAAAGCUGGCAGGAUCAGAAGGGGACUGGUCUUUUCCAAAGUCGAGAACCAGAGCCCCAUACUCUCUUUACAGAAGGCCGCGAUGGUGGCAGGUGCUGUGGCCUGUUGUGAAGUGAAGGUGAGGAGGGAAGUUUCAUAACAGACGGUUUCUUGUUUAUCUGGGGCCUGUCCAGCUCUAAGCUUUGAAAGUGAUGGACCAGACCCUAAACUGGCACAGACAGGUGGGAUUGCCAGAACAGGAAGCAAGGUUCUAGGUUAUUAUCUUUGGGGCAGCUGCCGCUGCACAGUUGGUGGGCUGGCAUGUUAGCAAUGGCUUCUUGUGGUGAUUAUGUGUGGUACCACAAUGAGGUGAGAAACUGGGCCUGGAAUCUGUGGAGGUUGUAACCACACUAGAGCUGUUGGCAUGUGUUAAAAUGGGUGUCAGCUACUGUGUCUCAUAGGACUUAUGGAUGGAAAUGCAUGAAUGUGGGAGCCAAAGACAUGAGUAUGUGUGUUCUCUGCUGAUCAGCCUGGAGUUCUGGAUUGUGUGGCACAGUAAGUGAUGUUUUGUGGGAAGCCAUGGCUGUCCUCUCUGACAUUAGCCUCCAAAGACUAAGCGCUUAUCCCAUACAUUGCUAACAUCCUCUGCUAACCUUUCUGAAAUUGUUAAAUUAGUCUAGGCUGGGUUCUAGCAUAUAUCAUGCUUCUCUUUAGCUGAAUACCCUUGGGCAAGCUACUUAAUCUCACUGUUCCUAGCUUUCUUUAUCUAGAAAAUGAAAGCCCAGCCUAGACACUAUCAUAAGUUUGUGAUGACCUCUGUUGUCCACGUUUGAUUAAACAAUUUUCAGCCAUAUGUUUUGGUAUUUGCUGCUUUGAAUAGUUGAAUUCUACUGGUUUUACUUUACUGUAAAGGAAGAGACACACACUUCUUUUUUGGUUUUAAAUUUUUUUCUUGAAGAUGUAGGUGGUGUGUCUCCAUAUCCAGUAUGUAAAGGUUUGGAAAUUAAAGAGUCUGUAUCAUUUUAUAGAGAAGGGCCCAAACGUUAUCUUUCUGCAUUGUAUAACUGAUCUUGUCCCUUUUGUUGUUGAGACAGUAUGAGUCACAGUUGCUGUUGGGGAAGUAAGAUGCAGAAUCACAACAUACAAUUGUAGAAGGUGUUCUUGCAGGGGCAGUAGAGUCCGUCUGAUCAACCCUUCAUGCUGAGAGUUGAAGGCUGAGGCCCAAAAAGGUCUCCUGAUGAAUCUGAGACUGCACUUUGUUCAUCUAGAUAUCCUAGCACCUCCUGGGCCUCGAAACCAGGUGCUGGAGUGCCAUGUCACCUCUUCUGUGAAGCAUCAUUUUAAGAGACAAACUGGCAGAAUUGAAAGAAGACGGCAUUCAUCAUCAAAAUUUAAAUUUGUUUCUCAUUAACAGACAUUCUGCCUGUAGUGCACUAUGAAUUAAUGUGUUUUAUAAAUCUUGUAACUGUCUUAUGAAGAGUAUAAUUAGUCAUAAGUGUUUGGGUGUUAGAAAUGUUAAUUUGUUCAAUGUAGGCAUUAAAAUGUUUUGUCAUUUCUUUAUUUUUACCUAUCACUGGGAGCUUUAGAAGAUGUAAGUGGCUCAAGCCUCCCUUGACCUCUAAGUGACCCUGCUGAACUGGCUUAGUAUUGGCUGGCCUGGCUCACGUACUCACUCUGGCCCAGUUGCCUGGGGCUGCAGGACUCACAGGGUGUGGACAUCUGGGGGAGGGGGAAAGAGGGCACAGGGAAGUGCUCUGGGUGUGGCAGGCCUGCGAAGGAGUGAAGAAUGGGAAUCUAGGAAUCUGACUGCUGAGACUGAAGAGUAAGGCCCAAGCAGGACUGUGAUUUGGUCCUGAGAUUUUAAAGGCAUAGGUAGCCCAGUUCUUUUUCUGUGUCUGUGCUUAGAGACUACACAUGAUGCCAGAUGUCUUAAAAACUGGGGAGACUACAACUCAUUUCUGCUUUGAGGUAUGAAGCCACUGGUAAACUACUUUAAAAUGAAAAAAAAAAUUGUUUAGGCAAUUAUUGGUGGUGGUUUAGGCAAUUGGUGGUGGUAUUGGAAAAAUUUCAGAGGGAACAGCUCUACAAGAAAAACAGUUCCAGAAGUAGGAGAGGUUAAAGAGAUGUGAGGGGCCAUUUAGUCAGCUGGAUGGCGCUAAAAGCCAUAAUUGGUUGUACUUCAUGAGGGUUAAAAUUGGAAAGCAAUGUGAACAUGCAGUUUAAGCCAUGGGGUGGAAGGGCUUUGAAAUUUAAAAAAAAUGAUAUGUAGUAGUAAUAGAGACCUUCCAGUUUUAAAUUCAUGAACCAGACUCUCUUUCUCUUCCCCCAGUUUCUUUUAUCAAUGUGUAGUAAUUUAUUCUAUAACUACCACCAAGAGAUGUCUUAUUCAGGACUGGAUUGCAUGAGUCACCAAUUUUGUUGUUGUUUGGCCAAAGCUGUAAAGUGUAAAAUAAGGACCAAACAUUUUUAUGGGAAAAGAUUGGCACAUUAGCAGACAGUGACGUGAGCAGUCUGGGAGCCUGUUGUGUUGUGAAGGGAGGGGUGUUUCGUAAAGGCCACAUUUGUAUGAUUAGAGAGCACAAACUAUGAGUAAAAUGUCUGCAGCUACUAAAGUAACCUAGUAGAUGUGGAUUCUUAUUCAUUCACAAAAUAUCUUUGCUAUGUGCUUGUUGGAAUCAUGAUAUCCUGGGCAGAUUUUAUAAUGAUCAUUUAUGGUAUAGUAAACAUCUAGAACUACCAUAGGAGAAUAGAGCAUAGACACCAUUGAUAAGCCUGCUGCUUUGUGGAGGGAUGGUGCUUAUCAGAAAUUGCAGCAUUACUGUAAAUUUUUCUUCAGACUUAUCAUAUGGGAUGAUUUAUUUGAUAGUUCAGUAUAUUAUUUUGCCAGGAAAUGUCGUUAGUACUCUUCUCAAAAGGGCAGUGUGCAUCUGAAUCACCUGUGGAACUUAAAAAGCAAAACCAAGCAGACCAUGGACUCCCUCCUGAUCUACUGAACUUCAUCUCCAGUGCUGGGCCUGGGCACUGUACUUUUCAUUCUAAAGUCUUUUCUUCUUUCUUCCUUCAGUAAAUAUAUAUUGAGCUUGAUGACCAUCACUGAUCGGGUCUAAAAUGGUGAGGAAAACAGAAAUGAUUCCUCUCUUCUUGCUAUUUGUAUAUAUGAGCAAGAGCCUGAUCAUCAUUAUGUAAGGACUGUGGGAAAAACCGAUAAUUAUAAAUUGCAGCAAUACCAUGGAGAAAAAAAAUAGAACACAAGGGCAUCAUAAGAAAGUGACAGAAGAUCAGUUUAGAUGAGGGAGAAAGCAUCUCUGAGGAAAAUGAGACAGGUGCUGAAAACUGAAAGGAGUUCACCAUGGGCAGAGAGGCAGGAGAACUCCAGGCAGAGGGGCAGCAUUUUGGGAUGCUUCUGGGAAAGACAUGAUAGGCUUGCAUCACUGCACUGCAGGAUUUCAGCCCAUGAGAAUGAGAAAUGACCACGUCCCAGGGAGAGGUGGCAAGUCAUCAUUCCAUGCUGUCCCUAUUCUGUACUCCCUUAGUCUUGCAGUUACAAAAACAAUUUACUUGACUGUCCAUUUAAAGGAAGGAUAUUAUGGUAUGGGUCUAAAUGAUCCCCAAAGCCUCAUGCAAGCCUGGUGGCUUUUCGAGAAGUGGCUGAAUCUAGAGUGUGUG
This is a non-coding RNA of Heterocephalus glaber (naked mole-rat), 3793 nucleotides long. The record is from RefSeq and is a predicted model, not a curated record. NCBI's taxonomy places the organism in Eukaryota, Metazoa, Chordata, Mammalia, Rodentia, Bathyergidae.